UACGUAGGGGGCAAGCGUUGUCCGGAUUUAUUGGGCGUAAAGAGCGUGUAGGCGGUCAGGUAGGUCGGUUGUGAAAACUGGAGGCUCAACCUUCAGAGGUCGACCGAAACCCCCUGGCUAGAGUCCGGGAGAGGAGAGUGGAAUUCCUGGUGUAGCGGUGAAAUGCGCAGAUAUCAGGAAGAACACCCGUGGCGAAAGCGGCUCUCUGGAACGGUACUGACGCUGAGACGCGAAAGCGUGGGUAGCAAACGGG
Molecule: ribosomal RNA, 253 nt
Filed under: uncultured bacterium
Lineage: Bacteria
Description: partial 16S ribosomal RNA
Rfam family: Bacterial small subunit ribosomal RNA
Source: RNAcentral